RNAcentral lists this unclassified non-coding RNA (396 nucleotides) under Hevea brasiliensis (rubber tree). The record is from RNAcentral. Lineage: Eukaryota; Viridiplantae; Streptophyta; Magnoliopsida; Malpighiales; Euphorbiaceae.
AGACGUUCCGUGUUCCAGGUAACUAUGGUCCCAUGGACUAGUUGUUCAGUAGUCUUAGAGAGCUGUUACUCAAUGGUCUAGUUGUUUAGUCCCACUAGUGGUAGCCAAGAAUUAAUCGCAGUUAUUGGCAGCACACAGCAUAAGUCUCUAGCCUGCUGUAUAGCCUACCAUCGGGGCCCUGGCAAACAGAACUCAGAGAUGGGCCCACAGCUUACUGAAGCCAAUCUCAAUGUUUGAAAGAUGCUCUGUUCACAUACUCAUUUUCACACAUAGGCACACAGAGUUCGUAAAAAUGAAACUUUUUAGAAAGUAAGGGGCCUUCCUUUGACAGAGGUGCCAAAACUAAUGCAUAGAAAGAAAUAGCAGAUUUCAGUAUUUAUAAUGGCAUAGUUCAUU